RNAcentral lists this ribosomal RNA (776 nucleotides) under uncultured Neocallimastigales. RNAcentral describes it as "partial large subunit ribosomal RNA". It matches the Rfam family "Eukaryotic large subunit ribosomal RNA", at positions 24 to 639 of the family's 3401-position model. The record is from RNAcentral. Lineage: Eukaryota; Fungi; Neocallimastigomycota; Neocallimastigomycetes; Neocallimastigales.
UAUGUGAUCGUCUCUCGCAUAUCAAUAAGCGGAGGAAAAGAGACUAACAAGGAUUCCCCUAGUAACGGCGAGUGAAGCGGGAAGAGCUCAAAUUUGAAAUCUUAAAGGGUUUCCCUUUACGAAUUGUAGUUUAAAGAAGUGUUUUCUGUUGAGGUUUUGGUAAAAGUUCUUUGGAAUAGGACAUCAUAGAGGGUGAGAAUCCCGUAUUUGACCUUUACUUUCAACUUUGUGAUACACUUUCAAAGAGUCGGAUUGUUUGGGAAUGCAGUCCAAAAUGGGUGGUAAAUUCCAUCUAAAGCUAAAUAUUGGCGAGAGACCGAUAGCGAACAAGUACCGUGAGGGAAAGAUGAAAAGAACUUUGAAAAGAGAGUUAAACAGUACGUGAAAUUGUCAAAAGGGAAGCGUUUGACACCAGUGUUGUUUUUUCUGAAAAUCAAUUAAAGAACUGUUUAUGCUAAGUUGUUUAGACUUUAUCAGCUAACUGUUUAGUUUUGAGCUUUUCUUUAAUGCACUUUUCAGUUAACAAGGUCAACAUCAAUUUCUUUUGCUGUAAAAAAGCUUGAGGAAGGUGGCUUGAGAUUCGUCUUAAGUGUUUAUAGCCUCUUGCCUAUGCAGUCGGAGAGAUUGAGGUCUGCAGCGUAGAUCCUUCGGGGCUAAAUGCAUUUGUGCUAAGUUAUAGCAUUUUAUAGACAACUUGUUGACUAUGAUUUGUCUUGUAGCUUACUCGCUUAUGUUAUUUUACCUACGCUUAGGAUGUUGAUCUACAGAGCGAGAGU